ACGAGCCGAAGAGGACGGUCUUUUGCAGCAGCUCUCCGUGUGCCCCUCGUGUCCUGGGCAGUCCGUGGGUUCAGCUCUGAUCCUGCCUUGCUCUCACCCCAUGUGUGCGCACUGCAUAGAAGCAGAGAGGACGAAGUCAGAAGCCGCUCUUUAUCCCGGACUAAACCCCUGUGCAGUGCUGUGCUCCUGCUGUGGACGUCCUGUAGAAUUGCCAUGUAGGACUUGGUCUUCUGCCGUUUCCUGCCUCCCGAAAUAUCCCAGACUGAGCUCUGGACAUCCCGCUGAGGAGAGAGGGGAUUCGGCUCAGCAAAAUGAACAGGACAUUUCUAACAGACACAUCAGGACAACUCCGGGUCCUUCAGAAGCUGGAAUGCCUCUCCACUCAGCCACUCCCUCAUACUGUCCAGCAGAUGGCGACACAGACAUUCAGGAUGAGGAGAUGGAGCAGACCGUACAUGGUCUGUAUUUUGCUUUGGACUCCUCCCACGUCCCUCCAUCCAUCCGUCUCUCCAACUCAUCCCGGACGGCCACAUACCAGGCUCAGGACCAGCCUCGCCGGCCGGAUCGGAACGCUCGGCGGUGCAGCCCAUGGCCGAGCUGAGAGGAGACGUCCUGAUUGGACAGGGGCAGUAUUACUGGGAGGUGGAUGUCUGUAACAGCGCCCUCUACAGGAUCGGUGUGCGCUCCCUGGACACUUCUCGUGGCUGGUGGUUGGAAAGACGAGGCUUUCAUUUUUCGUGCGUGUACGACGGAGCGGUGGAGCCCGUCUACAGCGUACCCCCCGGGAUCAAAACCAUCGGACUGUUCCUCAACACCAACGGAGGCGCGUUGAGUUUCUACAACGCCCUGUCCCAGGAGCACCUGGCCACGUUACCCACCCGGUUCGGCCCGGGGGGACUGGUGCCGGCGUUCGGUUUGGGACAGGGCAGGCUGAAGAUGCGCUCCGGCCUCCCCCCGCCGCCUCUGGUCUUCCACAGUAAGGACUCCAGAUACAGCGGGACACGGAGCUCAGAGGGGGCGGUGUGGCGGAGGGGGGUAGCCUUCGGGUCGGUUCGGAAGGUGGUGGAGAAGUUUGAGGGGCUGGCUUUGUCGCGGUGACGUUUGGAGUAUUUAGUAUACUGUCCUGUUAUCUUGAUGAAGGGGUGUCCAGGACGGUCCUACCAGCGGCUCUCUAUGUGCCCAGUGUGAGUCUGUGAGUCAUAAAAACAUUGUUCACAGUCUGCAAACAAUCUGGUCAAUAAAGAAAGUAUAGAACAUUUAGAUCAAAUUUAGUACCCAUUUAGUUCUGUACUUAGUUAGUUUCUUCACCUUCCCAGUAAACGUUUUGUUUCAAAUUGCUUGUGGUUCGAAAGGUUCUGUGUAAACAAACAAAAAAGUGGUUCUUGUAGUAAUUAAUUAAAAAAGGGAACAAAGAAACCAAAAAUAUUUUCCAAUUGUAGAUCCAGAAAAUCACUAGGCAGUCCCACCACAACAACAACAACAACAAAAUACUCGACUGAUGGGAUUAAUAAAGAAUAUAAAUCUGCUUUAUAGUUUUCCUUCAUAGUUCUUGAAAAAGAUGAAUGCAGCUGGCUACAAGCCUGUAGGCAUCACUACCCUGGAAGAUCAUAAAGGUUUCCAUCUCAUAACAACUCCCGAAUAAGAUUAAAUGUUUAUCAGUGUUUCUUUUUUCCAUUCUGAAAUGGAAAUAAUGACUAAUUUUCCCCCCCGCAACAUUUAGUUCAUUUCAAUAAAACGCCUUUUGUACACUCCACUAUCCUUAAAGGGAUAUUUCAGGAUUUUUGACACAGGGCCUCAUUUCCUAGUUAUCCAGAGUGUUGUUAAUGUCUGGAGAUAUUUUUUUCUUUAAUUCAUGUUCUUAUAUUUGAAGAGUCUAGUGGCGCUAGGCUAGGGCAAGGCUAAAGCAUUUCUAUGGUAUCAGUUAGCCUGCAUUAAAAACAGUCAGGCGCACUCCAGAGUGCACCUGAGGUAAAUCACUUAUAACGUAUAACUGACCUUGUAACACAUGAAUUACCGCAUUAUGAAGGACUAUUUUCUCGCAGAUCACUCCGCCGCUGCGUUAGCUUACAGCCACGAAGCUGAUGCUGCUCAAAUAUAAGUUAUGUUAAAUGCAAAAUGGUUAAAAUGAUUCUAUCGACACAGACAUUUAUAUUGUUAGUGAUUAUAAGUGAUUUGCCUCAGGUGCACUGUGGAGUGGGUCAGACUGUUUUUAAUGCAGGCUAACUGAUACCAUAGAAAUGCUUUAG
This 2246-nucleotide long non-coding RNA is filed under the name Neogobius melanostomus (round goby). Its description in RNAcentral is "lncRNA (ENSNMLG00000004033.1)". Lineage: Eukaryota; Metazoa; Chordata; Actinopteri; Gobiiformes; Gobiidae. The record is from RNAcentral.